AUUGAACGCUGGCGGCAGGCCUAACACAUGCAAGUCGAGCGGAUGAAGGGAGCUUGCUCCUGGAUUCAGCGGCGGACGGGCGAGUAAUGCCUAGGAAUCUGCCUGGUAGUGGGGGAUAACGUCCGGAAACGGGCGCUAAUACCGCAUACGUCCUGAGGGAGAAAGUGGGGGAUCUUCGGACCUCACGCUAUCAGAUGAGCCUAGGUCGGAUUAGCUAGUUGGUGGGGUAAAGGCCUACCAAGGCGACGAUCCGUAACUGGUCUGAGAGGAUGAUCAGUCACACUGGAACUGAGACACGGUCCAGACUCCUACGGGAGGCAGCAGUGGGGAAUAUUGGACAAUGGGCGAAAGCCUGAUCCAGCCGUGCCGCGUGUGUGAAGAAGGUCUUCGGAUUGUAAAGCACUUUAAGUUGGGAGGAAGGGCAGUAAGUUAAUACCUUGCUGUUUUGACGUUACCAACAGAAUAAGCACCGGCUAACUUCGUG
This 484-nucleotide ribosomal RNA is filed under the name uncultured bacterium. Its description in RNAcentral is "partial 16S ribosomal RNA". It matches the Rfam family "Bacterial small subunit ribosomal RNA", at positions 30 to 507 of the family's 1533-position model. The record is from RNAcentral.